AGAAGAUGCAAGCGUUGUUCGGAAUUACUGGGCGUAAAGCGCGUGUAGGUGGUCGAGUAAGUCGAAUGUGAAAGCCCCGGGCUCAACCCGGGAAGUGCAUCCGAAACUGCUCGACUAGAGUCCCGGAGAGGAAGGCAGAAUUCCCAAUGUAGGGGUGAAAUCCGUAGAUAUUGGGAGGAAUACCGGUGGCGAAGGCGGCCUUCUGGACGGUGACUGACACUCAGACGCGAAAGCGUGGGGAGCAAACAGGAUUAGAUACCCCGGUAGUCCACGCUGUAAACGAUGAGAGCUAGUUGUCGGCACGCAUGCGUGUCGGUGACGCAGCUAACGCAUUAAGCUCCCCGCCUGGGGAGUACGGCCGCAAGGCUA
Molecule: ribosomal RNA, 369 nt
Filed under: uncultured bacterium
Lineage: Bacteria
Description: bacterial SSU rRNA
Rfam family: Bacterial small subunit ribosomal RNA
Source: RNAcentral